GUCUCUGUCUCCUCUGUGGAAACUCAAAAAUGGGUUUGGGUCCUCGAUUGCAAUUGAUCCGGAAUCUCUAUCGAGCAAAAAAUCAAAUUCCAGAAUUGUCCCGUUUGCUUGGGAGCUCAGGAAGAUAUUCAAAUGUCAUUUCACAUGAUUCCAAAUCCUGGGGCAAUUCCUCUUGUUUGGAUGGAAGAUAUCUUAAUCAUCAAUCAUGUAAUAAAUGGACUGUUCCGCUAGCUAUUUGUAGGACCAUGUCAUCCUGUGUAACUAAGGACCCUAGAGGACUUCCUUGGACUCCUGGUACUAAAAUCAUACUUCAAGCAACAACGGUAGCUGAGCUAUCCAAUUUUGGCUAUGCUAGAUUUGUUACAACACAAGCAAAAGCUCCAGCCCAAGCACGACUAAUGGGAGCACUUCAGGUAUCUAUGCAGAGUCCUGGAAUUGUGUAUGAGCCAUAUGCACCUCGUGAAAAGAUUCCUUUCUGGAGAAGGUGGUUUACAAGAAGUGGUUGGCGUAGAACAAAAGAUGAUCUUAUUUUAGAGCUCAAAACUGCGUAUGCCAUUGCUAAAUUGCGAAAAUCUGGAUACUCUAAACAGAAGUUCUAUAAUGAAGCUUUUGACUUGUACAAAGAGAUAAGUACUAAAGUUGCUAAUGGAGACAAAACAUCAUUGAGGAAAUUAGUUACAGAGAAGAUGUAUUCUGCUCUCAAGAAUGAAAUCAAGCAAAGAGAAUCCAGGUGGAGUAAAAUGUAUUGGGAACUGGUGGAACCAGCAGUUCAAAUACAAACACUACGUGCUCGACUGAUUGCCAUUGAUCGGGAAAAUCUUAAUAAGGCGUUUGCACAGCUUACACUUGAAUUUUUGACUAAACAGAAGUAUGAGGCAUAUGAUACAAAUGGAACUGUUGUUGCUGGAGACAAGGACAAGGAGGUUCUUGUGCGUGAGAUAUGGGUUUUUGAGAAAUCUCUCUUCCACCCUGGAGCAUAUUGGCGUCUAUGUGGACGAAUCAACACUUCGUGAGGACAUCAGUUUAUGAACACAACCUCUUCCCGACAAAGGGGGGAGAAAGGAGGUGAAGGGAAAGACUUUAUGCACUAGAUUUACUGAAUGAAAAACCAGCAAAGGUAGGUUUUUCAUUUUUGUUAUGCUUUCUAAUCUGCUGAACAUUAAUUUACCCUUCAGAUGAAGUGCUGCUAGGAUUGUAAUUUGCGACUUGGUAGAGCCAUCUUUAAAUUCAGUGUUGUGAUUGGUUUUGUGGUGUUCGUUGAACAUCAAAGCAUACUAACAUGUUUUGUUAUUAUCUCUGGCAUUCAUGUAUAGAUAAUAGUCUUGGGGGUUGUCCUCCCCCCAUUCAUUUCCUUUACCAAAUCUUGGACUUUGGCCCGUUUCAAAUUUCUACAAAUAUGUGUCAAAUGUGCUAAAUUCAGUCAAGAUUAGGAAUAUUUUGCGGAACUCAAGAGUUGGGCUAAAGUGACUCGGGUAUUCCUGGGAACUGAAGACCAUACCAGGAAUAUCAACAGUCAUCCUUUUUCUUACUCAUGGUAAUCCUUCAACUAAUAUUCAAGGAAAAAGAAAGGAAAACUUUUCUGGCAUAAAGUAAUCCUUGUUGCUUGACGUGUGGGAGAUUCUCUCCCAUAACACUGUGAUUACCUUGCGUUCGGAUGAAGCAAGCCCUCGAUGUUUUUAAUGCAACCUCUGAAGAAUGGGGGAGGAUAUGGAUGAAUUAAAGGGCAGCCCUGAAAGCCUUGGCAUUUUUGGCAUAUUCAUCAAUUUCAUCCUGCCUACAGAAUGUUUUGUGCGGGAUGCUUUAGCCAUUUUCUGCAGACUCUUCAUCUUCAUAGCAAGUUCUGCAGUUCUAGCAGCACAAGACUUGAAGCAGCAUUUGAGUUUGGGAGGCUUUCUUGGCCAUGGAUUUUAUAUCGUCCAGAGACUGCAUGAUUGGAUCAUGCAAACCCUGGAAGCUCAGGCCAUGAAGCCUGUGACUUUAGGACGCAUGCCUGCGCAAUCGCAACAUCGAACUAGCACCAGAAAAGAUCAAAAUCUGCAUUUGACUUCUCAUACAAAUCCAUCUGAAGUGAAGGAUUAUUGUCCAAUGAAUGCAGCAAAACAAACGGAACCGGUUAGGUACCACUCGAGCUUCCCCAGAGAUGAAAGAGAGCUAUCACAACUCCCAAACGGUGUAGAUGAUGAAGUUCUUUCUUCCUGCUCAUCUAUACAAAAGAAAGAUGGUGAAGAUAUGGCAAAAGAUCAGGAGUCAACUGUGCCAACCGUCGUGCUUUUCCCUCAAAAAAGAGCUCCCAAGGAGUCGGUUAGCAAAAAUGAGAAUGUAGAGAUAUUGAAGGAAAUUAAACCAAAUUAUUUUAUUAUUUAAUUUCCUAAAUUCUUUGAGUUUCUUAUUUCAGUGUCUAGUUUUGAUAAGGUAUACUUUCCGUAAUUGAGGCCAGGUCCAAAUAGUAACGAGUCAAGUGUUAGUCCAACUCCUAGUUGGUUUGAAUUGAUUACUCCUUGGGUUAGUCUCUCUCUCUCUGGUUUGAAUUGAUUACUCCCUUGGGUUAGUCUCUCUCUCUCUCUCUCUCUAUAUAUAUAUAUAUAUCGCACUGCUACAAGCAUGUUAACACUUGAGGAGGGACGACUCCAAGGAAUUGCUAGAGUUGUGAGAGCCGUGAGCACAAGAAUGAAAGGUCUCCGGCUUGUCUUUUGUUGUUUUUGAGAUUUGAUUCAAUAAAAUGAUUGAGGCUUGAUUGUGAGUU
This is an RNA transcript of Coffea eugenioides, 2743 nucleotides long. It is a transcript of the gene named 39S ribosomal protein L45, mitochondrial, with no coding region annotated. NCBI's taxonomy places the organism in Eukaryota, Viridiplantae, Streptophyta, Magnoliopsida, Gentianales, Rubiaceae. The record is from RefSeq and is a predicted model, not a curated record. The transcript has 16 exons.